UUAUUUAUAAUCUGGUACAAGUUUUGAACCUAUUAUUUAUGCAUAAAAUAAUUACUGGCAACAACAGUCAUAUCUCUGAUAUCUAAAUCCUUUCUCGAAACAGAUACCUCCCUUAAAGCCCUUUCCUACGCAAGCGUCGUUGCAACCAGGAUAGCAAUUGUCUAUGCAGUUCGAUGUUGAUAUUGAAUAAGUUGAUAGUGCAUUAGUAUCUGAUGUUGCUUUUGAAUCUCCUUCUGCAUUUAUAUCACCAUUAAAUUAUAUCAAAGUUCACCAUAAAAUUCAAUGAAAUCUCACCAUAUACCAAAUUUUACCAUAAAAUUUCAAUUACCUCCUACUGCACUCAGAACCAGAGCAACGAACAAAACACUAAAAAGAAAAGGACGAAACAAGCGAGAAGCCAUUUCUAAAGAAUUUUAGUUUUCUGUUUUGAUUUUUUUUUUCCUUCUGAAUGUUUCAUAUCCCAC
Molecule: long non-coding RNA, 464 nt
Filed under: Phaseolus vulgaris (common bean)
Lineage: Eukaryota; Viridiplantae; Streptophyta; Magnoliopsida; Fabales; Fabaceae
Description: long non-coding RNA (PVUL_LNC001493)
Source: RNAcentral